This 29-nucleotide non-coding RNA is filed under the name Gallus gallus (chicken). Lineage: Eukaryota; Metazoa; Chordata; Aves; Galliformes; Phasianidae. RNAcentral also lists the same sequence under 5 other names. The record is from RNAcentral.
CUGGGUCGGGGUUUCGUACGUAGCAGAGC